Molecule: ribosomal RNA, 301 nt
Filed under: uncultured bacterium
Lineage: Bacteria
Description: partial 16S ribosomal RNA
Rfam family: Bacterial small subunit ribosomal RNA
Source: RNAcentral
CAGCAGCCGCGGGAAUACGUAGGGUGCGAGCGUUAAUCGGAAUUACUGGGCGUAAAGCGUGCGCAGGCGGUUCGUUAAGACAGAUGUGAAAUCCCCGGGCUUAACCUGGGAACUGCAUUUGUGACUGACGGGCUAGAGUAUGGCAGAGGGGGGUAGAAUUCCACGUGUAGCAGUGAAAUGCGUAGAGAUGUGGAGGAAUACCAAUGGCGAAGGCAGCCCCCUGGGCCAAUACUGACGCUCAUGCACGAAAGCGUGGGGAGCAAACAGGAUUAGAUACCCCAGUAGUCCCUGUCUCUUAUAC